Molecule: ribosomal RNA, 253 nt
Filed under: uncultured bacterium
Lineage: Bacteria
Description: partial 16S ribosomal RNA
Rfam family: Bacterial small subunit ribosomal RNA
Source: RNAcentral
UACGGGGGGGGCAAGCGUUGUUCGGAAUUACUGGGCGUAAAGGGCUCGUAGGUGGCCAACUAAGUCAUACGUGAAAUCCCUCGGCUUAACCGGGGAACUGCGUCUGAUACUGGAUGGCUUGAGUUUGGGAGAGGGAUGCAGAAUUCCAGGUGUAGCGGUGAAAUGCGUAGAUAUCUGGAGGAAUACCGGUGGCGAAGGCGGCAUCCUGGACCGGCAUUGACGCUGAGGAGCGAAAGCCAGGGGAGCAAACGGG